AUCACUCGGCUCGUGGAUCGAUGAAGACCGCAGCUAAAUGCGCGUCAGAAUGUGAACUGCAGGACACAUGAACAUCGACACGUUGAACGCAUAUGGCGCAUCGGACGACUCAACCCGACCGAUGCACACAUCCUUGAGUGCCUACCAAGUUAUCUCAACACUCUAACCAAACUGACCGUCCUGACCCCAUCAUAGGGGGGUAGGCUGUCGCAGCAUGGCGUGCUCGGAUCCGCAUCCUUGUCGGGACCGUGGGCGCUGAAAGUGAGAGUGCUAACACAGAGAGACAUACGAGGUAUGGUACACAAACCUAAACACACACACACACAUGUGAGCAUGGGUGAAGAGCGAGCGCGCGUCAAGUCGCACGGUUCGACCUCUAGUAUCAACCAACGGAUGUAUCCACCACAGCAUAUAAGGUUAUCACCAAUUGCACGGGGACUUCCACCGGUUGGCUCGGGUCGAGUAACACUUGCGGCCCAACGCGCUCGUAUCUUUCCUCGCAUCCAGUUGCAGUCGCGAGACGUGCUCACGCCGUGUGGGUGAGUGAGGUUAGCACGACAGGGGUGAUUUAUCACCGCUUCUCCCGUCGCAUCAUUGUGACAGUGGAGUCUGUACGCCUCAAGUGAUGUGUGACUACCCCCUAAAUUUAAGCAU
This 654-nucleotide ribosomal RNA is filed under the name Anopheles stephensi (Asian malaria mosquito). RNAcentral describes it as "eukaryotic LSU rRNA". The stretch from base 1 to 143 matches the Rfam family "5.8S ribosomal RNA". Lineage: Eukaryota; Metazoa; Arthropoda; Insecta; Diptera; Culicidae. The record is from RNAcentral.